AGCAUGUGGUUAAUUCGAAGCAACGACGAAGAACCUUACCAGGUCUUGACAUCCCGAUGCUAUUUCUAGAGAUAGAAAGUUACUUCGGUACAUCGGUGACAGGUGGUGCAUGGUUGUCGUCAGCUCGUGUCGUGAGAUGUUGGGUUAAGUCCCGCAACGAGCGCAACCCCUAUUGUUAGUUGCCAUCAUUCAGUUGGGCACUCUAGCGAGACUGCCGGUAAUAAACCGGAGGAAGGUGGGGAUGACGUCAAAUCAUCAUGCCCCUUAUGACCUGGGCUACACACGUGCUACAAUGGUUGGUACAACGAGUUGCGAGUCGGUGACGGCGAGCUAAUCUCUUAAAGCCAAUCUCAGUUCGGAUUGUAGGCUGCAACUCGCCUACAUGAAGUCGGAAUCGCUAGUAAUCGCGGAUCAGCACGCCGCGGUGAAUACGUUCCCGGGCCUU
This 445-nucleotide ribosomal RNA is filed under the name uncultured Streptococcus sp. RNAcentral describes it as "bacterial SSU rRNA". It matches the Rfam family "Bacterial small subunit ribosomal RNA", at positions 936 to 1382 of the family's 1533-position model. Lineage: Bacteria; Bacillati; Bacillota; Bacilli; Lactobacillales; Streptococcaceae. The record is from RNAcentral.